Non-coding RNA from Triticum aestivum (bread wheat), 135 nucleotides. Lineage: Eukaryota; Viridiplantae; Streptophyta; Magnoliopsida; Poales; Poaceae. The record is from Rfam.
CUAAUACUUCCUCCGUCCCAAAAUUCUUUUCUUAGAUUUGUCUAGAUACAGAUGUAUCUAAUACUAAAACGUGACUUGAUACAUCCGUAUUUAGACAAAUCUAAGACAAGAAUUUUGGGAUGGAGCGAGUAUUAC